UGGACGGAUAGGGUGAAUCAUCGCAUCGGUUCGAUUCUCUCGCGUGAAAAAUCGUGGGGCAGAUACAAGAUGAUUAUUAAAAAAUUUGCACAAGAGAAAACAUAUUUAAAGGAAAUUGAUAUAACCUGACUCGUGGAAAGAAAUAAACCAUUUUUGUAAAAUGGCCAAUAUAAAUCUCCCGAAUUCCAAAAGAUAACGUCUGUAAAGAUCUGAGAGUUUCAAGAUUAUUAAAAAAUCUGCACAAGUAGGAGCAUUUUUUAAGGAAAUUGGUAUAACCUGACUCGUGGAAUAACCCAUUUUUUAAAAAUAGCCGAUAUAAAUCAGUCUCGAAUUCCAAAAGAAAACAUUCACAAAGAUCUGAGAGAGUUUCGAGGAAAGGAAAACAGCAUGCAGAAUGAAGAGAUUGAAUUCAUUGAUUGAUUCAUUCAAUCUUGUUUGAAAAGAACUAUCAGCACUGAAAGAACUUUUUCUUGUGAAAUAAUAUGAUAGUAAGCUGCUUCAAAAAUAACGUUGCCAAAUCUAUCCCAGUUUAUCGUGCAUAAAUAUCUGCAAUGCGUUAUUUUUAUGUAUAUUUCUUCUUUUGUAUUUGUGUGUAUUAUGAAUCGUAUUUUUGUUACUAAAUGCGGUUAGAUCUAUGUAUGUAUGUUCCUUUAACUUCUACGUGAGCAUAAGGCCUCUAAUGGGAUUUCAAUAAUAAUGGAUUUUUUUUCCGGAAUUAGCCUAAUGUCCAACUCUCAGUCUGGAGGUUACAUACAUAAUACAUAUAUCCAUUGACCUACAGUUUAACGCCGAAUCCGAACGGCGAACGCGAAAAAUCGCGUAUAUGGGGCGCAGGUGGAAUCGAAUCCAGAUCGCGACGCGAGUCAACCACACCGAGUGGCAAGCCACCCAAAUAGCA
This is a long non-coding RNA of Mycetomoellerius zeteki, 898 nucleotides long. RefSeq lists it as uncharacterized. Lineage: Eukaryota; Metazoa; Arthropoda; Insecta; Hymenoptera; Formicidae. The transcript is spliced from 5 exons. The record is from RefSeq and is a predicted model, not a curated record.